ACAAUUCACACACAUUCAUUCACACUUCACACACGAGCUUCUUCCUCACGAGCUGCUUCUUCUCUGGUCGCACGAGCUUCUUUCGCCAUUGCCGCCGUUCGCAUCGCACUAUCUCUCUGUCAUCCCUUGCGUCGCACGAGCUCCUUCCGCUGUCGCUCUCGUGUCGUCUCCUCCCUUGGUCGCCAUCGUUGCAGAGCUCCCUCCGCCGCUCUCGUUGCGUCGUGCUCCCUUCAUCGCCGUUGUCACAGAGCUCUCUCCGCUGCCGCUCUUGUUGCGUUUGCUCCCUUAGUGAAUUUCAAGUAUAAUCUGAUUUUGUGAUUUUAGUGCUUAGAGCUCAAUUUUUCUGUGCCAAUUUUAGGUUUAUCAAUUUUUCUUCGCAAUUUCUAUCUUCUUGUUGUUGUUGAUGCUGAUUGAGCUUGGUGUAGGUUUAUCAAUUAUUUUACUAUCAGCGAAGAAAGAGAUUUUUUUGUCGGUCAUGUCUGCAGCGAUUCGUGAAAACCUCAGCCCAACUCGGUGAAAACUCGGUGGUUGUUGUUGAAUGGCGAAGCUUGAAGCGAAGCUCGGAAUGAUAGUUGACUCCGUUGGUAACUUCUUCUCUGGCAAAGACCAGCUUCCCUUGUGUGACCCUGCUCUAAAUGCAAGUGGUCUUGACAAAUUUUUUAAAUCAAUAGGAAGAAAUCCCUCAUAUGUUGAUUUGGAGGAAGUUUGCAGACAAGAUUGCAGCUUCUAGUUACUAUGUGGUUGUUCCAGACUUCUUUUAUGGUUGGAGAAGAUGUCGUGGGAGAACUAACCAAGUCGAUGCAAAAAAUUGGCUUGGAUAUGCGAGUUUUAGCUCUAGUUAAUGAUACCAUUGGAACACUAGCUGGAGGCAGAUUCUACAAUCAGGAUGUCAUUGCUGCUGUGAUCCUUGGUACAGGGACAAAUGCAGCAUAUGUGGAACGUGCAAAUGCUAUUCCAAAAUGGCAUGGCCCUCUCCCAAAAUCAGGAGACAUGGUUAUAAACAUGGAGUGGGGUAAUUUCCGAUCCUCACAUCUUCCUCUAACAGAAUAUGACGUAGCUGUAGAUGCUGAGAGCUUAAACCCUGGAGAGCAGAUAUUUGAGAAGUUGAUUUCUGGUAUGUAUUUGGGGGACAUUGUAAGGAUAGCUUUAUUGAAGAUGGCUGAAGAAGCUGACUUUUUCGGAGAUACAGUUCCCCUCAAGUUGAGAGUUGCUUUCAUACUCAGAAAUUGAAGACACUCGCUACAGAACAGCUUUCUUGGAUGGUGAUUCUGUUGUGAACCUUCCACUGUUUCGCCUUCAAGGUAUAUCAUUAUUAUCUGUGUUUAUGCUGCUUCUGCUCUUCAUUAUUGUACACAAUCAAGGCAUCUAUAUAUUGAUACUGCAUGAAGAUUUGAAAGCUCUAGCACAACGAUAUCACUCUUUAUAGGUUCUCUCUUGAAUGGAGUGCAGGAGACAGCACAAAAUCCUGAGAAAGGUGGAACAUUUGUGACUAAUAGAGAGCGAGCAUAUGGAGAUUCAUCUUUCCAGGAUUGCAAGCUAGCCUCUGAGGAAGCAAUGGAUACAAUAGUUAAAAACUUGCAGGUUUUGUUCCUUCACCUUUGCCAAGCCUUUGGACUUGGGCCAAUCAAGCAAAACAAGCCUGGGGCCAGCUUAGAUGCAUUUAUCUAUUUUGUUACUCUUGUGACUUAGUUUAAUCUUUUAUACCUCUAUAAUUUGCUUUAUUUAAGUGUUGAUUUGUGUUUCUCUGCCUCCCUUAUCAACUUAUACAUUGGCAUAUAUAAUGCCCUUGUUGAAUUGCUAUAUGUUUCGAGCUGUCGAGUGAGGAUUGGCUGAACGUACUUAGUGACCAACUACCAUUUUACUAACUAAUAAUAUUCAAUAGGAUUAGCUGACAUUAGCUAUCCUUCUAAACAUGGCUAAGACUUAAAAGUAUAUAGAUUACAGUUAACUUAAAAUCUCUAAUGUUUUACUGGAAAGGAUAACUGAUGCUACAAUUUGACUUUUUCCCCCUCUAACCAUGGAAAGCUAUUUUCAAAUUCUGAAUCAAUACAAAAGAGAGCUGAAGCUGCAGUGCUCCUUAAGCAGUUGGAAUAUCCGAUUUGUUUUGAUUUUAUUUAUAUUAAAAAUUAGCCAAAAUUUAUCUCAUUUUUAGCAUUCUUUAAUUUUUAGCCAAAACUUUAAAAUAUUAUUUGCUUAUUCGUGUAGGCUAAAGAAUGUAGCUUCAAGAAUUGGCUUCAUUUUUUUUUUUGGCUUUUUCGCAUUCCAAAAGUUUGUGUAACCCUUUCUAGUCUGUGUAAUCCUUGCUAAUUCCACUCUGCAUCUCACCAACACUAGAUGCUUCUCCCAUGCUCCAUCACCUUCUCCCUCUCAGAGUUCCAAAGCUAAUGAUAAAGAUCCUCAUUCAGGUCCAUCUUUCUUGAAGGACAACGAGCUCGCCAAGUUUGCCGCCAUUUCUGAUACCUG
This is an RNA transcript of Arachis duranensis, 2463 nucleotides long. It is a transcript of the gene named hexokinase-1, with no coding region annotated. The transcript has 10 exons. The record is from RefSeq and is a predicted model, not a curated record. NCBI's taxonomy places the organism in Eukaryota, Viridiplantae, Streptophyta, Magnoliopsida, Fabales, Fabaceae.